RNAcentral lists this ribosomal RNA (124 nucleotides) under uncultured SAR86 cluster bacterium. Its description in RNAcentral is "partial 23S ribosomal RNA". It matches the Rfam family "Bacterial large subunit ribosomal RNA", at positions 1 to 113 of the family's 2925-position model. Lineage: Bacteria; Pseudomonadati; Pseudomonadota; Gammaproteobacteria. The record is from RNAcentral.
AAGGUUAUAUGAUCAAGUAAAGGAAGAGCACAAGGCGGAUGCCUUGGCAGCAUAAGGCGAUGAAGGACGUGGUAACCUGCGAUAAGCCUCGGGAAGUUGUAAACAAAUUUUGAUCCGAGGAUUU